GGAGAUCUACUGUCCUGUAGGUUUUUAGUCCAACCCUAAUUUAGCACAUCUGAUUCAGCUAGUUAAGGUCUUGUUGAGCAGUUAAUUAGUAGAAUCGUUGGUCUAGGUCAUAGACCAACCAGCCCUGAUCUAGGUUAUAUCAGCUGUGUCGGUGAACCCCUCCCGCAUCUGAACUGGCUUUAUAGAGGGCACAGCAUGAUCAGAGGUAUGUUUCGAUGUGAGAGAGAGGAUGCCACCUCACCCGCUCUUAAGAUAACCUUCGGGCUGACUGAGAGCCCAAGGCUGGUUAGGAGACUAUGUAAUAGUGAUGAACAGAGAAUUAGGGUAGCAGAAUAUUAGGGUAGCAGAAUAUUAGGGUAGCACUGUGUUUCAUUAAUCAUAUGCUGUCUUCCCUGCUCCUGUGUUCUUACCUCGUUCCCUUUGUCUUUUACACCUCUCCCCACCUCUUUCUUCCUGUUUUAUAAUGCACACAAGAUAGAUGUGCAUUGAAGUACAAGAUAGAUGUGCAUUGAAGUACAAGAUAGAUGUGCAUUGAAGUACAAGAUAGAUGUGCAUUGAAGUACAAGAUAGAUGUGCAUUGAAGUACAAGAUAGAUGUGCAUUGAAGUACAGCUUGAACUUGUAUUUAUAAUGCAUGUAUUAUGUAUUUUUUUAACAUUUUGUAUAAUGAAUUUAAGGAGUUUCACUUUCUCUACUAUUGGGCAAUUUUAAGUCUCAUUUAAUGAAAUACUACACCUAAUUGUGUUUAUCAGAUCAAUGCAGACGAAGGGCAUUAGAUAUUGAGAUGAACUGGUUUUAGGCUAUUUACAUGAUGCAUAGGAAGUGUAGUGUACUGUUUAAAAAUAUAUAUAUUUCUGUAUACAUGAAAUACAAAUCAGCCUUUAACUAG
Molecule: non-coding RNA, 888 nt
Organism: Oncorhynchus mykiss (rainbow trout)
Lineage: Eukaryota; Metazoa; Chordata; Actinopteri; Salmoniformes; Salmonidae
Source: RefSeq, a predicted model, not a curated record